RNAcentral lists this ribosomal RNA (353 nucleotides) under uncultured eukaryote. RNAcentral's name for it is "SSU rRNA". It matches the Rfam family "Eukaryotic small subunit ribosomal RNA", at positions 20 to 370 of the family's 1831-position model. The record is from RNAcentral.
GUAGUCAUAUGCUUGUCUCAAAGAUUAAGCCAUGCAUGUCUAAGUUCAAGCGAAAAUAAAGUGAAACCGCGAAUGGCUCAUUAUAUCAGUUAUGGUUCCUUAGAUCGUACUUACUACUUGGAUAACUGUGGUAAUUCUAGAGCUAAUACAUGCGUUGGGCUCCAACCCUCGUGGAAGGAGCGCUUUUAUUAGAUCAAAGCCAAUCGGGCCUUCGGGUCCGUCUUACUGGUGACUCUGAAUAACUUUGCUGAUCGCAUGGUCUCGCACCGGCGACGUAUCUUUCAAGUGUCUGCCUUAUCGACUGUCGAUGGUAGGUUAUGCGCCUACCAUGGUGGCAACGGGUAACGGGGAAU